GUCGCACACAACUUCAUCUAGUGUUUCUUUAGCUGAUUGAAUUAGGAUAUAUUGCUACUAGCUCCUUACCAAAUGCCUUAAGAGGUUCUCAGAUUCAUUACAUUUGCAGCAAGGGUGCAUAUUAUAUGUGUGCUCUCGCUUGAGAGGGAGUAGAGAUACUAACAGUGAUUGUGUGCUAUGGUUUAGGGCCAGAAUUGUUGUAGGAAUGAUUGAUUUGAUUGUCUUUCCAUACCUAUUAUAUUUUAGCAAUAUAUAACCCCCAACAGCUUGAAGGAAUGAUCAAGCUUUCA
This 290-nucleotide unclassified non-coding RNA is filed under the name Hevea brasiliensis (rubber tree). The record is from RNAcentral. Lineage: Eukaryota; Viridiplantae; Streptophyta; Magnoliopsida; Malpighiales; Euphorbiaceae.